Molecule: ribosomal RNA, 441 nt
Filed under: uncultured bacterium
Lineage: Bacteria
Description: bacterial SSU rRNA
Rfam family: Bacterial small subunit ribosomal RNA
Source: RNAcentral
ACUCCUACGGGAGGCAGCAGUGGGGAAUAUUGGACAAUGGGGGAACCCGUAGCAUCCAGCCAUGCCGCGUGUGUGAAGAAGGCCUUCGGGUUGUAAAGCACUUUCAGUGGGGAGGAAAGGUUGAUGGUUAAUACCUAUCAGCUGUGACGUUACCCACAGAAGAAGCACCGGCUAACUCCGUGCCAGCAGCCGCGGUAAUACGGAGGGUGCAAGCGUUAAUCGGAAUUACUGGGCGUAAAGCGCAUGCAGGUGGUUUGUUAAGUCAGAUGUGAAAGCCCGGGGCUCAACCUCGGAAUUGCAUUUGAAACUGGCAGGCUAGAGUCUUGUAGAGGGGGUAGGAUUUCAUGGUGUAGCGGUGAAAGUGCAGUAGAGAUCGUGAAGGAAUACCAGUGGCGAAGGCGGCCCCUGGAGCCAAACGACUGACGCUCAGAUGCGAAAGCG